Molecule: ribosomal RNA, 482 nt
Filed under: uncultured bacterium
Lineage: Bacteria
Description: partial 16S ribosomal RNA
Rfam family: Bacterial small subunit ribosomal RNA
Source: RNAcentral
AUUGAACGCUGGCGGCAUGCUCUACACAUGCAAGUCGAACGGUAACAGGCCGCAAGGUGCUGACGAGUGGCGAACGGGUGAGUAAUGCAUCGGAACGUGCCCAGUCGUGGGGGAUAACUACUCGAAAGAGUAGCUAAUACCGCGUACGAUCUAUGGAUGAAAGCGGGGGACCGUAAGGCCUCGCGCGAUUGGAGCGGCCGAUGUCAGAUUAGGUAGUUGGUGGGGUAAAGGCUCACCAAGCCAACGAUCUGUAGCUGGUCUGAGAGGACGACCAGCCACACUGGGACUGAGACACGGCCCAGACUCCUACGGGAGGCAGCAGUGGGGAAUUUUGGACAAUGGGCGCAAGCCUGAUCCAGCAAUGCCGCGUGCAGGAAGAAGGCCUUCGGGUUGUAAACUGCUUUUGUACGGAACGAAACGGCUCUGGUUAAUACCCGGGGCUAAUGACGGUACCGUAAGAAUAAGCACCGGCUAACUACGUG